This 253-nucleotide ribosomal RNA is filed under the name uncultured bacterium. RNAcentral's name for it is "partial 16S ribosomal RNA". It matches the Rfam family "Bacterial small subunit ribosomal RNA", at positions 524 to 776 of the family's 1533-position model. The record is from RNAcentral.
GACGAACCGAGCGAACGUUAUUCGGAAUCACUGGGCUUAAAGGGCGCGUAGGCGGGCCAUCAAGUCAGGGGUGAAAGCCCCCAGCUCAACUGGGGAAGUGCCUCUGAUACUGGUGGCCUCGAGGGAGGUAGGGGCGUGCGGAACUUCCGGUGGAGCGGUGAAAUGCGUAGAUAUCGGAAGGAACAUCGGUGGCGAAAGCGGCGCGCUGGACCUCUUCUGACGCUGAGGCGCGAAAGCCAGGGGAGCGAACGGG